RNAcentral lists this ribosomal RNA (406 nucleotides) under uncultured bacterium. RNAcentral's name for it is "partial 16S ribosomal RNA". It matches the Rfam family "Bacterial small subunit ribosomal RNA", at positions 30 to 526 of the family's 1533-position model. The record is from RNAcentral.
AUUGAACGCUGGCGGCAGGCCUAACACAUGCAAGUCGAACGAGUGGCGGACGGGUGAGUAAUGUCUGGGAAACUGCCUGAUGGAGGGGGAUAACUACUGGAAACGGUAGCUAAUAACGCAUACCAUCAGAUGUGCCCAGAUGGGAUUAGCUUGUUGGUGGGGUAACGGCUCACCAAGGCGACGAUCCCUCGCUGGUCUGCGAGGAUGACCAGCCACACUGGACCUGAGACACGGUCCAGACUCCUACGGGAGGCAGCAUUGGGGAAUAUUGCACAAUGGGCGCAAUCCUGAUGCAGCCAUGCCGCGUGUAGGAGGAGGGCAUUCGGGUUGUAAAGUACUUUCAGCGGGGAGGCGAUACCCGCAGAGGAAGCACCGGCUAACUCCGUGCCAGCAGCCGCGGUAAUUC